Molecule: non-coding RNA, 74 nt
Organism: Mauremys mutica (yellowpond turtle)
Lineage: Eukaryota; Metazoa; Chordata; Testudines; Geoemydidae
Source: the annotation of a RefSeq genome assembly
GGUGUCAUGGCUGAGCUUGGUAAAGCGCCAGUUUUGUAAACAGGAGAUCCUGGGUUCAACUCCCAGUGGUACCU